RNAcentral lists this ribosomal RNA (375 nucleotides) under uncultured bacterium. RNAcentral describes it as "bacterial SSU rRNA". It matches the Rfam family "Bacterial small subunit ribosomal RNA", at positions 524 to 898 of the family's 1533-position model. The record is from RNAcentral.
UACAGAGGGUGCUAACGUUGUUCGGAAUCACUGGGCUUAAAGCGCACGUAGGCGGCUAGGCAAGUGCGAUGUGAAAGCCCCCGGCCCAACCGGGGAACUGCAUCGUAGACUGCCUGGCUUGAGAGCGGUAGGGGAGACUAGAACUCCUGGUGGAGCGGUGAAAUGCGUAGAUAUCAGGAGGAAUACCGGUGGCGAAGGCGAGUCUCUGGUCCGCUUCUGACGCUCAGGUGCGAAAGCUAGGGGAGCAAACGGGAUUAGAUACCCCGGUAGUCCUAGCUGUAAACGAUGGGCACUGGCUAGAGGUGACCCUGCGUCGUCUCUGGUGUAGCAAAAGUGUUAAGUGCCCCGCCUGGGGAGUAUGGUCGCAAGGCUGAA